UUGGAAAGUUGUGCCAGGAUAGGAAGACUUCAGGAAGCUUCUUUGAGGACUUCUGACUUGUGCUGCUGCCUCUUUGCCUCAGAAAUU
This 87-nucleotide microRNA precursor is filed under the name Procavia capensis (Cape rock hyrax). Its description in RNAcentral is "miRNA (ENSPCAG00000019607.1)". Lineage: Eukaryota; Metazoa; Chordata; Mammalia; Hyracoidea; Procaviidae. The record is from RNAcentral.